AUUGAACGCUGGCGGCAUGCCUUACACAUGCAAGUCGAACGGCAGCGGACCUUCGGUGCCGGCGAGUGGCGAACGGGUGAGUAAUAUAUCGGAACGUAUCUUUCAGUGGGGGAGUAACGUAGCGAAAGUUACGCUAAUACCGCAUAUUCUGUGAGCAGGAAAGCAGGGGAUCGCAAGACCUUGCGCUGAUUGAGCGGCCGAUAUCAGAUUAGCUAGUUGGUGAGGUAAAGGACUCACCAAGGCGACGAUCUGUAGCGGGUCUGAGAGGAUGAUCCGCCACACUGGAACUGAGACACGGUCCAGACUCCUACGGGA
RNAcentral lists this ribosomal RNA (315 nucleotides) under uncultured bacterium. RNAcentral describes it as "bacterial SSU rRNA". It matches the Rfam family "Bacterial small subunit ribosomal RNA", at positions 30 to 346 of the family's 1533-position model. The record is from RNAcentral.